UGAUGAGACGAGUGUAUCUAGGGCGG
RNAcentral lists this non-coding RNA (26 nucleotides) under Rattus norvegicus (Norway rat). Lineage: Eukaryota; Metazoa; Chordata; Mammalia; Rodentia; Muridae. The record is from RNAcentral.